GGAGUGUAGCUCAAUGGAGAGCACUUGCCUAGCAUGCAUGAGGCCCUGGAUUCAAUUCCCAUCACCA
This 67-nucleotide transfer RNA is filed under the name Marmota monax (woodchuck). RNAcentral's name for it is "tRNA.Ala". It matches the Rfam family "tRNA", at positions 5 to 66 of the family's 71-position model. Rfam says of the family: Transfer RNA (tRNA) molecules are approximately 80 nucleotides in length. The record is from RNAcentral. Lineage: Eukaryota; Metazoa; Chordata; Mammalia; Rodentia; Sciuridae.